RNAcentral lists this long non-coding RNA (808 nucleotides) under Equus caballus (horse). RNAcentral describes it as "lncRNA (ENSECAG00000048704.1)". Lineage: Eukaryota; Metazoa; Chordata; Mammalia; Perissodactyla; Equidae. The record is from RNAcentral.
GUCCAGCUGCCCCUGAGCUGGCAGAAUGUGGCAGAAAUUGAUGAAGAGUCGGUGCAUGGUCCUGGUGAAGCCACUGAGGAUGGCACUAGAACAGCGUCCUGUGUUGAUGCUGUGGAGCAUCUGGGGGCCUUUAACCACAUCACCCUGUUUCUGGUAUUCCCCCUGGCUCCAGACAUCCUGCUCUGCAUCUGGAUUUUUAAGGCGCCUUACUUUAAUCUCUACUUUGAUUUGGAAUUAUGGACUUUUGAUCCACAGCAAAGCGUCAUUCAUGCCCAUGAAUCUGGGAAUCAUGGCUGUCCUUCUCUAGGACAUGUGAUGGUCCUGUCUCUCUGUGACCUUGAGCAGAGGUUACAGUAGCUAUGAGGCCCCAAAUUCCCUCCUGAGUCCCAGACCCUUAUUUCCCAAAUGCCUGCUGGGUAUGUCUGCCACAGGUUUGUUCUUGAAUUCUCACUUUCCUUUAUUGCUCACAUUCAAUCAACACCAAGUGCUAUAGAUUCUAUCAUCUAAAUACCUCUUAAAUCAGUCACUGCCUGAUCAUCUCUACAGCCAUAGCCUGAGCUCAGACCCUCGUGGUUUCUUCCUCGGAUUAUUGCCUCUUCUCCUCCUGCCUGUUCUCCCUGCCUUCAUCCCACUGCCUUUCUAUCCACCUCGUUGCCUCCAGAACUAUCUUUCUCAGACACACAUCCGAUCAUGUCACUGCCCUGCUGAAAAACUUUGAGUGGUUCUCCAUCAUCUUUAGUGUGGUGUCCAAGGACUUUGACAAUUUGGUUUCAGUCUGUCUUUCUAGACUCAUCUUCUGCCGUUCUCC